This 604-nucleotide long non-coding RNA is filed under the name Homo sapiens (human). RNAcentral's name for it is "non-protein coding lnc-BRMS1L-6:1". The record is from RNAcentral. Lineage: Eukaryota; Metazoa; Chordata; Mammalia; Primates; Hominidae.
UUUUUUAAUCUUUUUUUGUCUGUACUGCAAGUUAAACCAAUUCUAUUAUUAUCCUUACCUUGCCUCCUUCUCUUAGAUGCUUAUUAUUAAAACCAUAAAACUACCUUAUUUACACUGAUACUUCAAAACUUGAUUCAACCACAUAUGAAAAAGAGGCUAAAGGGACUUUCAGUUGGGUGUAUCAGCCCAAUUCUCUAUCACAGCCUCCUCCCCUCUGGUUAUUUUGCAAGUCCAUUCCAGGCAUAGCGAUACGUGGAACAGUCACUGUGAGAAAUGUGGCAGGGGCGGCAACAGAUCCUAGAUCUAGAUGUCAUGGUUCUUCUGAGAAGUCAGAGUAGAAUCAAACAGAAAACUAUCACUACAUUAAAAAUAUCCUGGACGUAUUAGCAAACAAAUGCAUGCAUUUAUUCACGGAAUAAAAAUCAAAGGUGCCACAUUUGUAACCUUAUGCUUCUAGCUUAGCUACAUGAAAUAAAAAGCUAUUUGAAAUCAACUACAAAUGCAAUAAAGCAUAGAUUUUCCAAAUAAAUCUUAUUUGCUGUCAAACCAUAACUCACUCAUAAAUCAUACAAUAUUUUCACUUUGUAAUACAAUAAAAAUGAUU